UUUUUGACUAUACUCUGUGAA
Molecule: non-coding RNA, 21 nt
Organism: Caenorhabditis elegans
Lineage: Eukaryota; Metazoa; Nematoda; Chromadorea; Rhabditida; Rhabditidae
Source: Ensembl